RNAcentral lists this transfer RNA (38 nucleotides) under Diadema antillarum. Its description in RNAcentral is "partial tRNA-Lys". Lineage: Eukaryota; Metazoa; Echinodermata; Echinoidea; Diadematoida; Diadematidae. The record is from RNAcentral.
UAAUUUAAAAGACAGUAGUUAAACUCUACUAUUAAGGA